UUGCCACACCAUCCCUUAUUACACAAUCGUUGCGCAUUUGCCUGUUUUUCUUGCAUGGGGCCUAGUGCCUGAAGAGCCUCUAGCCCUCUGGCUGUUAUGUUGACCUCAGUAGCUGAACUUACCUUUUCUGGACUUGAUGUAGGAGGAAAAAAGCACAUAAAAUACAAAUCUUUCUACAUCAAAGUGGCAGCAGAGGAGUUAGAGUUCUAAAUAUUCUCUGAUUUGGAAUGGUGUUCCACUAGCAUGAAACCAACACUUCAUCAAAGUGGCCUGCUUCAAUCGAGGCUGUCCCGGCGAGAUAUAAAUUAUAAAUCAUAUCUUCUGUUUUACAUGGGAAAUGGGAGCUUGCAGGUGGAUCGUCUUUCAACAGAUGGGCUUAAGUUCCUUGGCUGUUCCUCUGCCAGAAUCUGCACCUGUCAGACACAUAUCCUGAAGACCUAUACGCCUGAGUCUCUCAACAGCAGUAACCUCCAAGAGGACAACGACUGUGUGAUUAGUGCUGUGCCUAAACAGCCCAGUUCUUUUCUCCUCCCAGCACACAGUAUGACUGCAUUUGCAUUUCCCCCUUAACACGAGGAACAGGCAAUGAAAUGAAUUAGGAACAGGGAGUGGCAUGUCACUUCUGGGAUAAAGCUUUCUGAACAAGUGCACAAUUUACCAUGUCCUUUUUCCACUGCUGCAGAAAUAUAGAAGCACCUAUUGAAUGUGGGUCUCUGAAUGACUUGGAAGUAAAUCCUCCUGAUGACCAGAGAUGGACCUGUAAAAUGAAAGGCAAAUCAGCUCACUGUUUUACUUUUCUGAACUUUCUGGUUACUGCAGCAGGGCCCAGCCUCUCCUGACUAAUACAUAUGACUUACUUGCUUUUCCAGUUUCUUGGAACCAUAAUCAUACCUCACAAAUAGUGGGUCCUCAAUAUUAAUUGAAUUAAUAAAUGAAUGCAAACUGAGUUCUUACCUUCAAAAGAAGCAGCAGUAAUGUGAAUAAACAGAGUAGAAGGGAUCAGCUGGGAGUAAAGAUUAUACCAAGGAUAGAUAGACACAGGAGUAGACGGUCCGGUCUUUUUCAAUUCUAUCUCAUUGGCGGACUUAAGCUAUUCCUCUCAGUAUAUUUAUUUUAGCAGUGCCUUAAAGUUGAAAAAAGAAUGAAAAAGGAAAAGCAGAAGAAAGAAUUAACAUUUGCUACUAAGAGAAGAUGAAGCAAAGUGGUGUACACAACAUUUUUUUCCCUAUUUUUUUCUCAAAGCUUAACUGAAUGUGCUAAUUUACCUGCUACCCACUGCUCUUAUCUAGUCAUGUAUUCAAGUUACUUAUUCCACAAAAUCUUAUUAAAUAGUUACUGGGUUCCAGCUCCUUGAUUAGGUACCAGGGGUAGGCUAUGAUGUGAUCUAUUCUUUUAUUUAUUAUUAAGUUUAUUGGUACAUUUUAGGUAUACAGUGUGAUGACAUUCAUCAUUGAGAAUUUGUACCUUCACAUGACCUAUUGUGGUUCUUAUUUUUCCCCCAUUCCUCUGCCCUCUCUUCACCCCCUCCACCCCUCCUUAUUACAAAGACUUUGGUCCCAUUUUUUCCUUUUCUCAUAUUUAUUCCUUUCCCCUCUCCCUCCCACUUCCCCUUUCCCUUUGGAUCUUUUCUUCCUAUUUCACAUUAUCUAUUAUACAUUUUGAUCCUAAUUUACACUUUCAGCUUCUCACACCAGAGAAACUACACAUGUGAGACCUAUUUAUUUUACUUAAGAAUAUGGCCUCACUGAGUGAUCUAUUCUUUUAAGAUAUUCACAAUUGCAUAAGGAAAAGGAUCCAAAGUAAGUGUUGAGCAGCUAGCACCAAGAUGGCUGCAGGAAUCCACCCCAUACAGCAUGAAGCACCCAUCCGCUUCCUCCACCACCGGUCACUCCUUCAUUCCAUAGUGCUCCAAAGCCUUUUGAGCUCCUUUCCCAUCCUCAACCCAUUAGACUAGCACAGCAGCUCACUGGGGAGGGAAGCGGGUGUUGUCAUCACCAUUUGCAAGGUGAGGAUACAGAAGCCCUGAGGAAAGGAGACACUCAGCUGGAGUCGGUGUCAGAGCGGAGUGGUGAUCUUGUGAUCAGAGAUGCUCUAUACAGAGGAGGUGGGCAAUGCCACUUCCAGACAAGAAAACUGGUCCAGAGCAGAUCAGUGACUUCCUCACUUGGUGAAGGUCAUUUGGUGAAUGAGUAUCAAAAUAAAGACUAGAAUUACUUAUAAAACAGAAAAUAACAAAUGUUAACAAAUAUGUGGACCGAUUGGAACCUUGCUCUAUGCUAGUGGAAAUGUAAGGUGAUGCAGGCUCUGUAGAAAAUAGUAUGGUGAUUGCACACACACAAAAAAUAAAUGUAACAUCAUUACAUAAUCAAAAUUGUCAGAGGUGGAAGCAACCUAAGAGUCCAUGACAGAUGAGUUGACGAGCGAGUGGUGGUGUCUAAAUACCACAGAAUAUCAUUCAGCUUUAAAAGACAAAAUUCUAGCGUACACUGCGACAUGGAUGAACAUGGGGGACAUUAGGGAAAUGCAAGUCAAAACCACAAAUGAUAUACCACUUUGAAAUCCAUUUCAAAAGACGAUCCUAGGUGUUAGGCACAAACAGGAGGCAAGGUAUGGGCUAAGUCUGCUAAAUAUCCAGUAGGAUGCUCAUUGUUUGAAAAGAAAAACCCAGAAAAUAACAAGUGUUGGCAUUGUAGCCAUUUCCGCAGAAAUUGGAAUAUUUGUGCAUUGCACGGAAGAAUGUAAAAUGGUGAGGCUAAUGUGGGAAACACAAAGUGCUUCCUGGAAAUUUUAAAUUUACAGAUACCACAUGAUCCAGCAACUCCACUUCUGAGUAUAGAACCAAAACAAUCCAAAGAGAGGACUCUGGCACCUUAUUAGUACAUCCAUGUUUGCAGCAGUACUAUUCACAGCAGGCAAAGGGUAGGCACAACCAAAUAUUCAUCAACAGGUGAACAAACAAAAUUUGGUCUAUACAGCCAAUGACAUGUCAGUAAGUCUUAAAAGAGAAGGAAAUUCUAGAACAUGGAUGUAAGUACAUUAUAUCAAGUAAAAUAGACCAUUUACAAAAAGACAAAUAUUGUAUGAUUGCAGGAAUAUGUGCUAGGGAGUCAAACUCAUAGAAACAAAGUAUAAUGAGGAUUUCCAAGAACCAUGGGGAGGAAGGAUGGAGAUUAUUAUUUAGCGGUGCACACUUUCAAGUUGGGAAGAUGAAAAAACAUGGGGAGAUGGAUGGUGGUGAUUAGCUGCUGUGAAUGAACUAAGCUGUAGGCUUAAAUAUGGACACAGUGCUCAAUUUUGCAAAAGGGAAAAACAUAAAGACUCCAUUAUAGCUCUUUAGGUCUUCAAACUUCCACAACGUAUAGGUCAAGCCACACUCACUGUUCAAAAAGCUAAGCUUUAAUUGACUAGUUAAAAAAUCUUC
This 3421-nucleotide long non-coding RNA is filed under the name Fukomys damarensis (Damara mole-rat). RNAcentral's name for it is "lncRNA (ENSFDAG00000024672.1)". The record is from RNAcentral. Lineage: Eukaryota; Metazoa; Chordata; Mammalia; Rodentia; Bathyergidae.